AAGAGAUUAGCUCAGUUGGUAGAGCGACCCCUUUACACGGGGAAGGUCAGGUGUUCGAAUCGCCUAUUUCUUA
This is a transfer RNA of Aspergillus terreus NIH2624, 73 nucleotides long. It matches the Rfam family "tRNA". From Rfam's summary of the family: Transfer RNA (tRNA) molecules are approximately 80 nucleotides in length. Their secondary structure includes four short double-helical elements and three loops (D, anti-codon, and T loops). Lineage: Eukaryota; Fungi; Ascomycota; Eurotiomycetes; Eurotiales; Aspergillaceae. The record is from Rfam.